UGGGGAAUUUUGGACAAUGGGCGAAAGCCUGAUCCAGCAAUGCCGCGUGUGUGAAGAAGGCCUUCGGGUUGUAAAGCACUUUUGUCCGGAAAGAAAUCCUUGGCUCUAAUACAGUCGGGGGAUGACGGUACCGGAAGAAUAAGCACCGGCUAACUACGUGCCAGCAGCCGCGGUAAUACGUAGGGUGCAAGCGUUAAUCGGAAUUACUGGGCGUAAAGCGUGCGCAGGCGGUUUGCUAAGACCGAUGUGAAAUCCCCGGGCUCAACCUGGGAACUGCAUUGGUGACUGGCAGGCUAGAGUAUGGCAGAGGGGGGUUAGAAUUCCACGUGUAGCAGUGAAAUGCGUAGAGAUGUGGAGGAAUACCGAUGGCGAAGGCAGCCCCCUGGGCCAAUACUGACGCUCAUGCACGAAAGCGUGGGGGAGCAAAACAGGAUUAGAUACCCCUGGUAGUCCACGCCCUAAACGAUGUCAACUAGUUGUUGGGGAUUCAUUUCCUUAGUAACGUAGCUAACGCGUGAAGUUGACCGCCUGGGGGAGUACGGUCGCAAGAUUAAAACUUAAA
This 562-nucleotide ribosomal RNA is filed under the name uncultured bacterium. Its description in RNAcentral is "partial 16S ribosomal RNA". It matches the Rfam family "Bacterial small subunit ribosomal RNA", at positions 355 to 905 of the family's 1533-position model. The record is from RNAcentral.